This 1046-nucleotide long non-coding RNA is filed under the name Papio anubis (olive baboon). RNAcentral's name for it is "lncRNA (ENSPANG00000039852.1)". The record is from RNAcentral. Lineage: Eukaryota; Metazoa; Chordata; Mammalia; Primates; Cercopithecidae.
AUGGAAGCGGGGGGACGGGGCGGGGGCGGGGGCACCGGGGCAGGGGGAGGGGAAAGGAGGGGGGCGGGAACGUCCUGCCGUUACUGCUGUGGCUUCCGGGGCGGGACUUCGGAAGACCGCCCGCCUCCCAAUUGCAAAUCGACUUCCGGGGCACCCCCACCGGCCGCAACGUGGGUUCUCUGCUCCGACUUCUGUCGCUUUUCCCUUCCCGUUUAUCUUGUUCAGGUCCCUCAGUGGGCUGCUCCGGAUCUAAAGAGCAGAAAUUGGGCCGCAAAGAGAACGUCCUCCCAGACUUUCUCCGUCGCGGUGAACUUAUGUCCGUUUGGUGGCAAAAAUGAGACACAUAAGGCGGAAAUUACUGCUUGGUGACACACUGUGGAGCCCCGCCCACAACCAGGAUACUUGGACCCAGGCCACUGAAACCUUAGGCCACAUCUAAGUUCCUUCCUUAAAAAGUAAAUUUAAGAAAAAGGAAAAACAGGAAUGACCCCCUUUCAGGCACUUCGUUGGUUUUAUGGCGCCUCUUCUUGCAAGUGUUUGUGUAAAAUUGACAUACUGUGGUCCUUUUGUGCUCAAUUAUAGCAAGGAAAAUUCAGAUCCCAAAGGUCCACCUGUGAGUAUAAACUUCCUAAGUUCUCUGUGUAUGGCUCUGCUUUCUUUUCUGCCUGCAUUAAGUGUGCUGUUACGUUUCUACUUUCUAGAAUGGAAAUAUUUUGCAUCCCAUGUUUCAUUUUGUUGACUGACUUUAAACCAAUGGGUUGUAUUAAUAUCUCAUGACUAGAGUUCUGAAGUAAAAACUAUAGGAUUUUUGGUUGUGUGGCACGCCAGGUCUCACUAACAGCUGAGCAGGGAGGCCUCCUUAACAACUGUUUCAACACUGACUGACUGGUUAAAUAUUAAAAGCUGAAAGUGCCCUUAUACAAAGGCUGGGAUUUAACAAAAGCCCAGCAAGAGUUUUUCACCCUAGGUCCUCACAGAUUCUUGAACAUGGUGGGUAAAGGGUGCUAAGAGGAUCCACUUUAGAAGUUAAACAAGUUUUAUUGGAG